CAGUAGCCGCGGUAAUACAGAGGAUGCAAGCGUUAUCCGGAAUGAUUGGGCGUAAAGCGUCUGUAGGUGGCUUUUCAAGUCCGCCGUCAAAUCCCAGGGCUCAACCCUGGACAGGCGGUGAAAACUACCAAGCUGGAGUACGGUAGGGGCAGAGGGAAUUUCCGGUGGAGCGGUGAAAUGCGUUGAGGUCGGAAAGAACACCAGUGGCGAAGGCGACCCUCUGGUCUGUAACUGACGCUGAGGCUCGAAAGCGUGGGGAGCAAACAGGAUUAGAUACCCGGGUAGUCCCUGUCUCUUAUAC
RNAcentral lists this ribosomal RNA (301 nucleotides) under uncultured bacterium. RNAcentral's name for it is "partial 16S ribosomal RNA". It matches the Rfam family "Bacterial small subunit ribosomal RNA", at positions 509 to 807 of the family's 1533-position model. The record is from RNAcentral.